This 254-nucleotide ribosomal RNA is filed under the name uncultured bacterium. RNAcentral describes it as "partial 16S ribosomal RNA". It matches the Rfam family "Bacterial small subunit ribosomal RNA", at positions 524 to 776 of the family's 1533-position model. The record is from RNAcentral.
UACGGGGGGGGCAAGCGUUGUUCGGAAUUACUGGGCGUAAAGGGCGUGUAGGCGGCCAACUAAGUCCGACGUGAAAUCCCCAGGCUUAACCUGGGAACUGCGUCGGAUACUGGAUGGCUUGAAUCCGGGAGAGGGAUGCAGAAUUCCAGGUGUAGCGGUGAAAUGCGUAGAUAUCUGGAGGAACACCGGUGGCGAAGGCGGCAUCCUGGACCACGACUGACGCUGAGUGAGCGAAAGCCAGGGGAGCAAACGGG